AUUGAACGCUGGCGGCAUGCUUUACACAUGCAAGUCGAACGGUAACAGGCCGCAAGGUGCUGACGAGUGGCGAACGGGUGAGUAAUGCAUCGGAACGUGCCCAGUCGUGGGGGAUAACUACUCGAAAGAGUAGCUAAUACCGCAUACGAUCUAUGGAUGAAAGCGGGGGACCGUAAGGCCUCGCGCGAUUGGAGCGGCCGAUGUCAGAUUAGGUAGUUGGUGGGGUAAAGGCCCACCAAGCCAACGAUCUGUAGCUGGUCUGAGAGGACGACCAGCCACACUGGGACUGAGACACGGCCCAGACUCCUACGGGAGGCAGCAGUGGGGAAUUUUGGACAAUGGGCGCAAGCCUGAUCCAGCAAUGCCGCGUGCAGGAAGAAGGCCUUCGGGUUGUAAAAUGCUUUUGUACGGAACGAAACGGCUCUGGUUAAUACCCGGGGCUAAUGACGGUACCGUAAGAAUAAGCACCGGCUAACUACGUG
Molecule: ribosomal RNA, 482 nt
Filed under: uncultured bacterium
Lineage: Bacteria
Description: partial 16S ribosomal RNA
Rfam family: Bacterial small subunit ribosomal RNA
Source: RNAcentral